UACGGAGGGUGCAAGCGUUAUCCGGAUUUACUGGGUUUAAAGGGUGUGUAGGCGGACUUUUAAGUCAGGGGUGAAAUCCCGAGGCUCAACCUCGGAACUGCCUUUGAUACUAUUGGUCUUGAAUAUUGUGGAGGUCAGCGGAAUAUGUCAUGUAGCGGUGAAAUGCUUAGAUAUGACAUAGAACACCAAUUGCGAAGGCAGCUCACUACGGAUAUAUUGACACUGAGGCACGAAAGCGUGGGGAUCAAACAGG
Molecule: ribosomal RNA, 253 nt
Filed under: uncultured bacterium
Lineage: Bacteria
Description: partial 16S ribosomal RNA
Rfam family: Bacterial small subunit ribosomal RNA
Source: RNAcentral